CUCACUAUUGGAGCGGCCGAUAUCGGAUUAGGUAGUUGGUGGGGUAAAGGCUCACCAAGGCAACGAUCCGUAGCUGGUUUGAGAGGACGACCAGCCACACUGGGAUUGAGACACGGCCCAGACUCCUACGGGAGGCAGCAGUGGGGAAUUUUGGACAAUGGGGGAAACCCUGAUCCAGCCAUCCCGCGUGUAUGAUGAAGGCCUUCGGGUUGUAAAGUACUUUUGGCAGAGAAGAAAAGGCAUCCCCUAAUACGGGAUGCUGCUGACGGUAUCUGCAGAAUAAGCACCGGCUAACUUCGUGCCAGCAGCCGCGGUAAUACGUAGGGUGCAAGCGUUAAUCGGAAUUACUGGGCGUAAAGCGUGUGUAGGCGGUUCGGAAAGAAAGAUGUGAAAUCCCAGGGCUCAACCUUGGAACUGCAUUUUUAACUGCCGAGCUAGAGUAUGUCAGAGGGGGGUAGAAUUCCACGUGUAGCAGUGAAAUGCGUAGAUAUGUGGAGGAAUACCGAUGGCGAAGGCAGCCCCCUGGGAUAAUACUGACGCUCAGACACGAAAGCGUGGGGAGCAAACAGGAUUAGAUACCCUGGUAGUCCACGCCCUAAACGAUGUCAACUAGCUGUUGGGGCCGUUAGGCCUUAGUAGCGCAGCUAACGCGUGAAGUUGACCGCCUGGGGAGUACGGUCGCAAGAUUAAAACUCAAAGGAAUAGACGGGGACCCGCACAAGCGGUGGAUGAUGUGGAUUAAUUCGAUGCAACGCGAAAAACCUUACCUACCCUUGACAUGUCUGGAAUGCCGAAGAGAUUUGGCAGUGCUCGCAAGAGAACCGGAACACAGGUGCUGCAUGGCUGUCGUCAGCUUGUGUCGUGAGAUGCUGGGUUAAGUCCCGCAAUGAGCGCAACCCUUCUCAUUAGGUGCUACGCAAGAGCACUCUAAUGAGACUGCCGGUGACAAACCGGAGGAAGGUGGGGAUGACGUCAAGUCGUCAUGGCCUCUAUGCGUAGGGCCUCACACGUCAUACAAUGGUCGGGACAGAGGGUGGCCAACCCGCGAGGGGGAGCCAAUCUCAGAAACCAGAUCGUAGUCCGGAUCGCAGUUUGCCACUCGACUGCCAGAAGUCGGAAUCGUUAGUAAUGGCGGAUAAGAAUGUAGCGGCGAAUAAGUUCCCGGUUUGAGUCAUCACCACCCUUCAA
RNAcentral lists this ribosomal RNA (1188 nucleotides) under uncultured bacterium. Its description in RNAcentral is "bacterial SSU rRNA". It matches the Rfam family "Bacterial small subunit ribosomal RNA", at positions 214 to 1400 of the family's 1533-position model. The record is from RNAcentral.